CUAUGAUUCUAUGAUUCCAUGAUUGUGCUUACUUCCCCUUUUUACAUUUGUUAUAUAUUGCAUUUUUUCUAUUGAUGCAUUCAAUCCACCACUCAACCAUAAUGGGCUUUUAGCUAAGGUUAUCUUCUUUUUUUUGAGACAUAAUGCUCUCCUGAUUGAUUUAAUGUAAGUUUCAGAAACCUCAUAUUUUACACCUAUAAAGGAAUUAUCUGUUUAUUGCAGAAAAAAUGAUCUCCGCUGAGAAGUUAGGAAUAAACUGUAGUGAAGAACUGGAAUUAGAUUUCAGAUCCCCUAGUUGAAUUGUUGGUAAUCUGAGUGCUUUGGAAAUUGAAGCUAUGAAGUUCGUCAACACACAAACCAACAAUUGUGUAUCUAAGGCGACAUCACAGUGGAACAGCUGAGCAUGAGCUAUUUUGGGAAAGCACUAUUUUCACUUUCAUUCUUACUCAAGGUCUGUAAUCAUUCACAUAUCUGAAUGUACUCACUCAGUCUUCAGACUUCACUAUGUCCUUUUGAGCUGGGGACAAUCUCAUCAGAGGUGAAAAUGGCAAUUGGCCGUAAUUUCACUGAAAUAUGGAAAAAACAUUUUACUCUUAUGUCAACGUCUUUAUACUCACUCAUUUUGGUAGUGCUUGAAAAGGUAAUGGAAUCUGAGUUUAAAUGCCCAGAAGAGCUGACACUGAGAUAUUUUUACUGCAUCUUCUAUUUCACUCUGCCAGCUGUGACUUUUUUUAUUAGGCAUAAUUUUCCAGCCAGUGUGUCUACAUCCUUCUUAUAGAGAAAACAAAUUCUACUACUUUGACAAAAAAUGCAAAAGUUGGUCUACAGACAAGUGCGAGUUUAGUAGCCACUAGCGCAGUUUUUUAAAGGCUCUUUUCCCUGCUCUGUUGUGGAUAGUGAUGCUUCUUCUGGAUGGAAGAUAUAUUGGCUGCUUCAGGAAGAACAUAAGAGAUCAUCUGAUUUCCCAGAUUUUGGGACUCGCUAUCAUGGUUGCUGUUGUCAGUGUCAGUUUGGCAUGCAUGUGCUGCAGCAAAAAGGGCUACAGAAAAAGAUAACAGUGGAUAAAGCGGAAAUCAAGAAGCUACUAGAGCAAAAAGCUUCUGACUAUAUUUUAAAACAGAAGGAAGAGGCUAUCUGUCAAUGCCUAAAUGAUGAAUACUUAGCUGAUCCGGAAACAAUAUUGGUAUCUAUUGACAAA
This is a long non-coding RNA of Dermochelys coriacea (leatherback sea turtle), 1198 nucleotides long. RefSeq lists it as uncharacterized. The transcript has 2 exons. Lineage: Eukaryota; Metazoa; Chordata; Testudines; Dermochelyidae. The record is from RefSeq and is a predicted model, not a curated record.